GACGAACGCUGGCGGCGUGCUUAACACAUGCAAGUCGAACGGAAAGGCCCUGCUUUUGUGGGGUGCUCGAGUGGCGAACGGGUGAGUAACACGUGAGUAACCUGCCCUUGACUUUGGGAUAACUUCAGGAAACUGGGGCUAAUACCGGAUAGGAGCUCCUGCUGCAUGGUGGGGGUUGGAAAGUUUCGGCGGUUGGGGAUGGACUCGCGGCUUAUCAGCUUGUUGGUGGGGUAGUGGCUUACCAAGGCUUUGACGGGUAGCCGGCCUGAGAGGGUGACCGGCCACAUUGGGACUGAGAUACGGCCCAGACUCCUACGGGAGGCAGCAGUGGGGAAUAUUGCACAAUGGGCGGAAGCCUGAUGCAGCAACGCCGCGUGCGGGAUGACGGCCUUCGGAUUGUAAACCGCUUUCGCCUGUGACGAAGCGUGAGUGACGGUAAUGGGUAAAGAAGCACCGGCUAACUACGUGCCAGCAGCCGCGGUGAUACGUAGGGUGCGAGCGUUGUCCGGAUUUAUUGGGCGUAAAGGGCUCGUGGGUGGUUGAUCGCGUCGGAAGUGUAAUCUUGGGGCUUAACCCUGAGCGUGCUUUCGAUACGGGUUGACUUGAGGAAGGUAGGGGAGAAUGGAAUUCCUGGUGGAGCGGUGGAAUGCGCAGAUAUCAGGAGGAACACCAGUGGCGAAGGCGGUUCUCUGGGCCUUUCCUGACGCUGAGGAGCGAAAGCGUGGGGAGCGAACAGGCUUAGAUACCCUGGUAGUCCACGCUGUAAACGGUGGGUACUAGGUGUGGGGUCCAUUCCACGGGUUCCGUGCCGUAGCUAACGCUUUAAGUACCCCGCCUGGGGAGUACGGCCGCAAGGCUAAAACUCAAAGGAAUUGACGGGGCCCCGCACAAGCGGCGGAGCAUGCGGAUUAAUUCGAUGCAACGCGUAGAACCUUACCUGGGUUUGACAUGGAUCGGGAGUGCUCAGAGAUGGGUGUGCCUCUUUUGGGGUCGGUUCACAGGUGGUGCAUGGCUGUCGUCAGCUCGUGUCGUGAGAUGUUGGGUUAAGUCCCGCAACGAGCGCAACCCUUGUUCACUGUUGCCAGCACGUUAUGGUGGGGACUCAGUGGAGACCGCCGGGGUCAACUCGGAGGAAGGUGGGGAUGACGUCAAGUCAUCAUGCCCCUUAUGUCCAGGGCUUCACGCAUGCUACAAUGGCUGGUACAGAGAGUGGCGAGCCUGUGAGGGUGAGCGAAUCUCGGAAAGCCGGUCUCAGUUCGGAUUGGGGUCUGCAACUCGACCUCAUGAAGUCGGAGUCGCUAGUAAUCGCAGAUCAGCAACGCUGCGGUGAAUACGUUCCCGGGGCU
RNAcentral lists this ribosomal RNA (1346 nucleotides) under uncultured bacterium. RNAcentral's name for it is "partial 16S ribosomal RNA". It matches the Rfam family "Bacterial small subunit ribosomal RNA", at positions 28 to 1381 of the family's 1533-position model. The record is from RNAcentral.